RNAcentral lists this non-coding RNA (43 nucleotides) under Trypanosoma brucei brucei. The record is from RNAcentral. Lineage: Eukaryota; Euglenozoa; Kinetoplastea; Trypanosomatida; Trypanosomatidae.
AUAAAAACGCAGAGAUUGGUUAUCACGGAUUGGUAGAUUAAUU